This is a long non-coding RNA of Oncorhynchus kisutch (coho salmon), 966 nucleotides long. RefSeq lists it as uncharacterized. The record is from RefSeq and is a predicted model, not a curated record. Lineage: Eukaryota; Metazoa; Chordata; Actinopteri; Salmoniformes; Salmonidae. The transcript is spliced from 4 exons.
CCCCAAGCCAUAAGACUCAAAUGGCAACCCGGACUAUAUGCAUUCUGGCAACAGAGUUUGACUAUUAGCCAUAGCUAGCAAGCAAGGACCUACCUCCAGCCUGCCUGGUUAAAUAAAUCAAAUAAAAAGGGAUAGGAAUGUUGCCAGCGAGAAUGGCAACGGAACAUAAAGAACGAACAACUGGGUCUUGUCUAGUUAAUCGAACGAACGACUGGGUAACGUCUAGCAACCAAAAUAUGAAAAGCUUAGACUACAGGGAUCACAGAAACCACACACACACACACCUAGCAUUUCACUGUAUCCUAUUUCUAACAGUUCAGCAGAAGGCCACCACACCACAUUAGAGUUGUUAAGACAGAGCAUAUGAACAACAGUGAGACUGACUACUACAGAAAGCAGCACUGGACAGCCAUGCAGGCGAAGGAAUGUGGAUUGUCCUACAGGGAAUUCUCUGAAGGAUGAGGAAAGGAUCCUGCAGAUUGUCCUACAGGAAUUGCCCUGAAAAUCUUGUGGAAUUACCUGCAGGAUUAUUACCUACAGGAUAUCUCACAGGAUUUGGGUGCCAUUUUCCUAUAGGACAAUUCCAUCAGUAGUACCUGCAUGAUUCCUAGUGUGUCCUCCAGGAUUCCUGUAUGAAUUUUGUCCUACAGAAAAGUGGCCCUGAAAAUCCUGUGGGAUAUCCUGCAGGACUUCCUAAACCUGUAACCUGUGAAGUUCAUCAUUUAUUUCAUCUGUAGCCUAACUGCGUGGGUUCCUGAGUCAUAGUGGGAGGACCACACACCAUAUCAUCGUGCGACUCCAAGUUAUGUCAAUAUUUGUGCAUAAAGACGUAUCCACCGCCAUUUCUCACAUAAUUAAUUUGACAAAUUACCUGUAGACAUUUCCAAAAUUGUACGGAAACGUCCUGUUUCCAUCACAGCUGUUUAUAUGGUAGGAUUUUACUUGCAUUAAAACUGUGGGUGGAUG